GACGAACGCUGGCGGCGUGCCUAAUACAUGCAAGUCGAGCGGAGUAAAAAGCGUGCUUGCACGGUUUUUAUUUAGCGGCGAACGGGUGAGUAACACGUAGGUAACCUGGCCAUAAGACAGGGAUAACGCACGGAAACGUGAGCUAAAACCAGAUAGGCAUUUCCACGCAUGAGGGAGAUGAGAAAAGGCGGAGCAAUCUGCCGCUUAUGGAUGGACCUGCGUCGCAUUAGCUAGUUGGAGUGGUAAAGGCACACCAAGGCGACGAUGCGUAGCCGACCUGAGAGGGUGAGCGGCCACACUGGGACUGAGACACGGCCCAGACUCCUACGGGAGGCAGCAGUGGGGAAUUUUGGACAAUGGGCGCAAGCCUGAUCCAGCCAUGCCGCGUGUCUGAAGAAGGCCUGGUUGUAAGGACUUUGUCUAGGG
RNAcentral lists this ribosomal RNA (426 nucleotides) under uncultured bacterium. Its description in RNAcentral is "bacterial SSU rRNA". It matches the Rfam family "Bacterial small subunit ribosomal RNA", at positions 28 to 444 of the family's 1533-position model. The record is from RNAcentral.